GCAUAAAGGAUCUUCAAAAAUGAUAAUAGUCUCGAUUUAAAUUCAGUGGGUCUCACCCUAUGGUCCAGGCUGGAGUGCAAAGGCAGAAUCUCAGCUCACUACAACCACCUCCUACCUAACUGAAGAGAUCCUCCCGUCUCAAGAGUCCUGACUGGCUGGAACUACAGCCAAGAAGAAAUGUAAAUGUACCCACUCCCACUGUGACAAAUAAUCAGUUCCAUAUAUGCAAACCCAGAAGCAG
This is a long non-coding RNA of Symphalangus syndactylus (siamang), 241 nucleotides long. RefSeq lists it as uncharacterized. The record is from RefSeq and is a predicted model, not a curated record. Lineage: Eukaryota; Metazoa; Chordata; Mammalia; Primates; Hylobatidae.